Molecule: unclassified non-coding RNA, 359 nt
Filed under: Hevea brasiliensis (rubber tree)
Lineage: Eukaryota; Viridiplantae; Streptophyta; Magnoliopsida; Malpighiales; Euphorbiaceae
Source: RNAcentral
CACCAAGCCGAUCUCCACCAAUCUCAUCGAACUCGCCCGCGUCCUGGCAAAGUAGAUUCUGCGGGUCACGCGUCAGUAAACCUUCGCGCCGAUGCCGUAGCCGGAGUCACCCUUGCGGGGCGACAGCAGGAUGAUCUUCCCGCCAGCGUCAGGCGCGCCGAGGAUCAGCACUUCGGACAUGAAGCCCGCGAUGUUGCGCGGGGGGAAAUUGCUCACGCAUAUCACCAGUGAACCAACAAGCUGCUCCGCUCCGCCGUGUAGUUGGUGAUCUGCGCGCUCGACCAUUUUUCGCCGAGGUCACCGAGAUCGACACGCACCUUCCACGACGGGUUGCGCGCUUUCGGAAACGGCUGAACUUC